CCUACGGGAGGCAGCAGUGGGGAAUAUUGGGCAAUGGAGGAAACUCUGACCCAGCGACGCCGCGUGCGGGAUGAAGGCCUUCGGGUUGUAAACCGCUUUCAGUAGGGAAGAAGCGAAAGUGACGGUACCUACAAAAGAAGCACCGGCUAACUAUGUGCCAGCAGCCGCGGUAAUACAUAGGGUGCAAGCGUUGUCCGGAAUUAUUGGGCGUAAAGAGCUCGUAGGUCGUUUGUUACGUCGGAUGUGAAAACCUGAGGCUCAACCUCAGGCCUGCAUUCGAUACGGGCAAACUAGAGUUUGGUAGGGGAGACUGGAAUUCCUGGUGUAGCGGUGGAAUGCGCAGAUAUCAGGAGGAACACCAAUGGCGAAGGCAGGUCUCUGGGCCAAUACUGACACUGAGGAGCGAAAGUCUGGGGAGCGAACAGGAUUAGAUACCCUGGUAGUCCAGACCGUAAACGGUGGGCACUAGUUGUAGGAACCUUCCACGGUUUCUGCGACGCAGCUAACGCAUUAAGUGCCCCGCCUGGGGAGUACGAUCGCAAGAUUAAAACUCAAAUGAAUUGACGG
Molecule: ribosomal RNA, 567 nt
Filed under: uncultured bacterium
Lineage: Bacteria
Description: bacterial SSU rRNA
Rfam family: Bacterial small subunit ribosomal RNA
Source: RNAcentral